AUUGCUUUUUAUUCUGACGUACACUACAUGUAUAAUACGAUGAAUGUAAAAUAGAUAUUGGCUGAAAAAAAUCUAUGGUGGUCGUGAAAUAACAUAUAUAUCUUUAAAUUAAUGAAAAAAAUUGAUUUAGCAACAAUAUUUGUCGUUUGCUAAAAAAUCGGAAAAAAAUUAGUAUAAAAGAUCUAGUAAACUAAAAAUUCAUUGGAACUUUUAGUUUAACCAGCGAACAAAGAACAUAGAAGCUCUUGUGGAAGACAACCAAUUUAGAAGUUUCUGUUAAAUUUUCCAUAUUGUUAAAAUUUAUAUUUUUUACUUUUAUUUUUUUUAUUGAGUAAAUUUCAUUGACAUAAUGGACACUUUUCCUAUUUUUUCGUCUAUGGUGUUUCCUUAUUUUUUUAUUCCUAUUUCAAUUAUUCAAGAUCUCGCUUUUAGUGUUACUUUAGUUUUAAUAUUUCUUAUAUUUUUGGACGAUGAACUUUCUAAGUAGAACAAAACUAUGAAGUCCAGACCCGUAUUAAAAAAUUUGGCGCCCUCGGGCAUAUAAUUUAUACCCCCUCCUCAUCUCCACAAUAAUAAAUAAUAAUAAUAAUAUAACACUAAUUAUUUCGUUCAUAAUUGAUGCUUUAAUAUUAAAAUCCAACUUAAUAAUUAAUAAAUGAGAAUUAUUUAAUACUUUUUUUAAUUAACAAAUUAUAACUUUCUUUUUUUUAAGUAUUUUUUUUCUUGCUUGAUUAUUGGCAAAUUCUUCAAUUAUGUCAUUUUUCUAAAAUACAAAUUAAAAAAAUAUUAAAUGAAAUGCAAUUAUUUAUUUUUUUUAUUACAUUUUUAAAAUUAAUUUUGCUAAAAUAUUUUGCCGCCCCCGGGCAUAUGCCUACCCGUGCCACCCCCUAAAUACGGCCCUGAUGAAGUCAAAAGCUAAACCAAUUAGUACAUCAAUUUCGACAACAGACACCAAUGCUACAACUAUUUUGACAAAUAUUUUAUCAGAUUAAAAGUUUACAGGGAUCCACACAAAUUACGACUUUUGAAACAGAAGAAAAUAUCAUUGAUAAUAAUACACCCGACAAUUCCAUUGAAACUAACCUUAACAGUGCUUCUUUGAAUAUAUCACACCCCCACCUACCGAACAAAGACUUUACUGACUAUGUGACCCUCUGCCAGCUCCAAAACGCUACAGAGGUGUGCGAGAACAACAUUUCGACUCAAAUAAGUCACUCGACUGAAUCAAUUCAAUCAUAUACACAAGAUUCGUCAUUUACUAGUAAAAUUUCUCAAAUUAAACAUAACUUGGACAGUAAUAGCUCCAAUAAAACUACCUCUCAUAAUAUUCCAAAGCACUUAUGGAAUAAAAGAUACUUCUUGUUUGAAAAAUUUGAUGACGGCAUUCUCUUGGACUAUGAAUCGUUUUAAUUCCAUGUGCCCUGAAAUUUUGAGCAAGCUUAUUGCUAAGAGGUGUAAGGGUUACAAUGUAGCGAUGGAUCCGUUUUGUGGCGACGGAGGUAACGUAAUUCAGUUAGCAAUGAAGUAUAAAAAAGUGGUUGCGAUAGACAUUGACCCGAACAAAUUGGAAUUUGCAAAGAAAAAUGCGUAAAUUUAUAGUGUGAGGAAUAAGAUCGAAUUCAUCGAGGGUGAUUUUUUCACUUUAGCUAAAGAUCUUAAGGAAUAUAAAGCUGAAGUCGUUAUAACUUCGCCUCCAUGGGGAGGACCGUCGUACAAAAACCAUAAAACAUACAGUUUGGAGAAAAAUAUGUGUAGUGAAUACGAAGGUCGAAUCCAAUCAUCGAAUUGGUCCGAAAUAUUUCUCCCAACGUAGCACUACACAUACCUAAAAGUACUGAUCGAAAUGAAUUAUUCAAAAUAGGAAAAUAUUUUAAUAACAACUUAGAAAUACAGAAUAACUAUAUCAUUGUAGAACUGGAUUCCAUCACUACAUUUUUUGGUAGAUUCAAUAAUAUGAUAUCAAAAAGCAGACAUACUAGUAUAAAACUCUUCAGUCAAAAAAGAAAACAUAAUGAAUACUCAUUACGGUCAAAUUUUACGAUUCAACUGAUAUAGACAAUUACUAAUCUCGACAUUAAUGUAUACUGCUCUAGAUUUUGACUUCCAGUAAUUAAUGAUUACGAACAAUCUUAUAAAUAAUAAAAAUUGAUCACUUGUGCCUAUUAAUUAAGUAAAAUUAAAACUAUAUUAAAAAUAUUAUUAAUUUAAAAAAUUAAAAAAUAUGAAAAUCAAAGCCACAAAAAAUUAAUGAAAAGUCGUGGAUACGUAUUUCGGAAACAAUGUUACCAUUAUCAACGCUAAACACAUACUAUGUGUUGUAUGUGUGUGUUUAGCGUUUAAUAUAGUUUUAAUUUUACUUAAUCUUAUAUACGUAAUAACUCUUAUAUUUUGCCUCAGCUAUAACUGCAGGAUGACCCUUUUAUCUUUAAUGAUAAAUUCAGACAAGUAUAGACUUUUUAUUUACAUUUUUGGUGCUCUCCGGGUAUUUUUUUGUAAAUAUUUUUAUUUAUUAUAUAUUUUCAUUCAUUGAUUUAUUUUGUAUUAGAUUUAUAUUAUUUUAUUGAUUGAUUUUCAUAAUAAAAAAUUACUUUUUUAAUAUUAUAUGUGCCAAUAAAUCGCCAUUAU
Molecule: long non-coding RNA, 2625 nt
Organism: Daktulosphaira vitifoliae (grape phylloxera)
Lineage: Eukaryota; Metazoa; Arthropoda; Insecta; Hemiptera; Phylloxeridae
Exons: 3
Source: RefSeq, a predicted model, not a curated record